GAUGAACGCUAGCGGCAGGCUUAAUACAUGCAAGUCGAGGGGCAGCGGGGUAGCAAUACCGCCGGCGACCGGCAAACGGGUGCGGAACACGUACAGAACCUCCCUCAAAGUGGUGAAUAGCCUUCCGAAAGGAAGAUUAAUACACCGUAAUAUUACAGAGUGGCAUCACUUUAUAAUUAUAGAUUUAUCGCUUAGAGAUGGCUGUGCGGCUGAUUAGGUAGUUGGCGGGAAAGCCCACCAAGCCUGCGAUCAGUAACUGGUGUGAGAGCACGACCAGUCACACGGGCACUGAGUCACGGGCCCGACUCCUACGGGAGGCAGCAGUAAGGAAUAUUGGGCAAUGGACGAGAGUCUGACCCAGCCAUGCCGCGU
Molecule: ribosomal RNA, 372 nt
Filed under: uncultured bacterium
Lineage: Bacteria
Description: bacterial SSU rRNA
Rfam family: Bacterial small subunit ribosomal RNA
Source: RNAcentral